UAUUCCUUUGAGAGACUUUUAUUUCCCGAUAAAAAAAGAUCUAUUCUUAAUCUAGUAAUAGCUUUUACUUUCAAUGUUGAAUUAUUGAUUGGAAAUUCAAGUAUAGAGGCGAAACACCUUCAAUUUUUUUGAUAUCUGGAUUUAACCUAAAUGAAUUUAGUUCAUAAAUUAACCAAAGAGUUAUAAGAUUCUUUGGAAUUAGAAUUAUUGUCACUACAGUUAAACGGAAUAAUUUCUUCCUUUUUAUUUAUUUAAUCGUAUUUAUUUCUGUUUUAUCUGUUUAAUAAGUUUUAAUACUAACCUUAUUUAUGUUUGAUUAGUUAAUAAUGUUUAAAUUAGUAUUUCUGAAUUUGUAAAUCAAAGAAAGGAACUCGGCAAAAUUACUCCUCGACUGUUUACCAAAAACAUAGCUUGGAGUUAGAUUGUUCUAAGUGAAACCUGCCCAGUGAGAAAUUUUAACGGCCGCAGUACACUGACUGUGCUAAGGUAGCAUAAUAAAUUGGCUUUUAAUUGAAGUCGGGUAUGAAAGGAGUUAUGGGGAGUGUCUGUCUCUUUACGAUUUUUAAAAGUUACUAAGGAAGUGAAAAUUCUUCCGUAUCUAAUGUAAGACGAGAAGACCCUAAGAAUUUUUAUAAUUAAAAUUGUACUAAUUUGUAAAUUUUUGUUGGGGCAACAAAUUUGGGUAACCAAAUUUUUAUGAAUUAUACAAACCAAAUUAUUUUAAAUCAGAUAAAAUUACCUUAGGGAUAACAGCAUAAUUAAAUUUUUAGAUUGUGACCUCGAUGUUGGACUAAGGACUUAAAUAAAUAGCCUUUAUUUUAGCUGGUUCUGUUCGAACUAUACACCUUA
Molecule: ribosomal RNA, 849 nt
Filed under: Schileykula scyphus sigma
Lineage: Eukaryota; Metazoa; Mollusca; Gastropoda; Stylommatophora; Orculidae
Description: partial 16S ribosomal RNA
Rfam family: Archaeal large subunit ribosomal RNA (bases 348-594)
Source: RNAcentral